GACGAACGCUGGCGGCGUGCCUAAUACAUGCAAGUAGAACGCUGAAGGAGGAGCUUGCUUCUCUGGAUGAGUUGCGAACGGGUGAGUAACGCGUAGGUAACCUGCCUGGUAGCGGGGGAUAACUAUUGGAAACGAUAGCUAAUACCGCAUAAGAGUAGAUGUUGCAUGACAUUUGCUUAAAAGGUGCAAUUGCAUCACUACCAGAUGGACCUGCGUUGUAUUAGCUAGUUGGUGAGGUAACGGCUCACCAAGGCAACGAUACAUAGCCGACCUGAGAGGGUGAUCGGCCACACUGGGACGGAGACACGGCCCAGACUCCUACGGGAGGCAGCAGUAGGGAAUCUUCGGCAAUGGACGGAAGUCUGACCGAGCAACGCCGCGUGAGUGAAGAAGGUUUUCGGAUCGUAAAGCUCUGUUGUAAGGGAAGAACGAGUGUGAGAGUGGAAAGUUCACACUGUGACGGUAUCUUACCAGAAAGGGACGGCUAACUACGUG
This 495-nucleotide ribosomal RNA is filed under the name uncultured bacterium. RNAcentral describes it as "partial 16S ribosomal RNA". It matches the Rfam family "Bacterial small subunit ribosomal RNA", at positions 28 to 507 of the family's 1533-position model. The record is from RNAcentral.